GGGUGGGCAAAUGAAGACAGGUAAGCAAAAUAUGUAUAUCUAUGACAUAAUGUGGUGAUUUAAGUUGAACAAGUCAAGGGAUUUGUGGAUGGGCCCUAAACUAGCAUGAUUAUUUUAUUUGAUCCCAAUAAGGUAGUGUUAGUGAGUACAAACAGAUCAGGAAGUCGAGGUGUCAUUUUGUUGUGCAGAGUACUCAACAGUCUUGAUCAGGUUUUUACUCUACAAAUGAUGACUAUAAAGUACUCUAUACAAGUAUUCUAUGUAGUAUGUACUGAUUAUCCCUUUGUUUAUCAUUUCAUCAUGGUGUUUAGCCAAGGCAAUUCAUCUUCACCAUGUAAUGUCUGACGUGCACAAUGCUUAUGCUGAAAGAUCCAUAUUGACUGUCUAUAAGACUUGCCUAAAAGAAAUAUCUGAAGCUGAAAAAUUCUACCUUUCUAAAAUUUUUUGUUUUAGUGGUACACAAUUAAAAGAUGAAAAAAGAAAUGAAACAAAUUUUAUUUGUUUCAUUUUUGAAAGAUCCAUAUUACUUUCUAUAAAACUUGCCUGAAAGAAAUACUGUGAUUCUGUGAAGCUGAAAUAAUUAUCUUUCUAUUUUCUUUGGUACCUAAUUAAAAGAUAAAAAGCCAUGAAACAUAUUUUAUAUUUGAUGGUACCCGCUAAUUUUCAGCCAAUUAUAGGAUGGUAUGUUCAGUUUUGAUUUUUGAAACAGAAAAGUUCUCAGUGCAUAUGAACAUGCAUAAAGUGAUAUUUACUAUAUAGAUUUAUGAACUAAAGGAACAGUUUAUACAGACCAAACCUAACAUGAUGUGAAUGCUUAAUUUUAAACUUAUUUUCACUUCAAACCUCGCACUUCUUUUGGGGGAUUUAGCCACCCAUGAUUAGUAUUGUCUUUUUUGGUUAGAAUUUGAAAUGUUCUAAUUUUUCAUUGAUAGUCAAAAAGGAAAAUGCAAAGUUGUUUAUACUUGAUUAUAAAUUUUUAAAUUGAUGGAUAAAAUUCUACUUUUCUCCUCCUCUUUAUCAAGUGUUUGUUGUUGAUGUUUUGUCAGGUAAAAUCCCAGUUCGAUUGUACAUCUGGAGUGUUAGCGAGGAUUUUGAAGAUUUUGAAGAUAUGCCAAAAAUUGAUAGUUGGGACAAAAUU
Molecule: unclassified non-coding RNA, 1138 nt
Filed under: Hevea brasiliensis (rubber tree)
Lineage: Eukaryota; Viridiplantae; Streptophyta; Magnoliopsida; Malpighiales; Euphorbiaceae
Source: RNAcentral